GGAAGUGCUGUAGCUCAGUGGUAGGGCAUCUGCUUUGGAUGCAGAAGGUCCCGAGUUCAAGUUCCUGGUAUCUCCA
This is a non-coding RNA of Podarcis lilfordi (Lilford's wall lizard), 76 nucleotides long. The record is from the annotation of a GenBank genome assembly. Lineage: Eukaryota; Metazoa; Chordata; Lepidosauria; Squamata; Lacertidae.